This 495-nucleotide ribosomal RNA is filed under the name uncultured bacterium. RNAcentral's name for it is "bacterial SSU rRNA". It matches the Rfam family "Bacterial small subunit ribosomal RNA", at positions 15 to 507 of the family's 1533-position model. The record is from RNAcentral.
GAUCCUGGCUCAGAUUGAACGCUGGCGGCAUGCUUUACACAUGCAAGUCGAACGGUAACAGGCCUUCGGGUGCUGACGAGUGGCGAACGGGUGAGUAAUACAUCGGAACGUGCCCAAUCGUGGGGGAUAACGCAGCGAAAGUUGCGCUAAUACCGCAUACGCCCUGAGGGGGAAAGCGGGGGACCGCAAGGCCUCGCGCGAAUGGAGCGGCCGAUGUCAGAUUAGCUAGUUGGUGGGGUAAAGGCUCACCAAGGCGACGAUCUGUAGCGGGUCUGAGAGGAUGGUCCGCCACACUGGGACUGAGACACGGCCCAGACUCCUACGGGAGGCAGCAGUGGGGAAUUUUGGACAAUGGGCGCAAGCCUGAUCCAGCCAUGCCGCGUGCGGGACGAAGGCCUUCGGGUUGUAAACCGCUUUCAGCCGGAAAGAAAUCGCUGACUUUAAUAGAGGCAGUGGAUGACGGUACCGGAAGAAGAAGCACCGGCUAACUACGUG